UGGAAUAUUGGUAAAUUGAUGAUUGGUAAUUUUGUAAAUAUGACUAUUGAUAGGGGUAUUUGCAAAACUUCAUAAUUGGGUGACAUUUUUGAAAUUAAAGCAUGGUUAUUUUGAAAAUUUCUUAAAAGGGUGGGGGCAAAGAUGGUAGUUUACUGUAUUUAGAAAAAUUAAUAAAAAGACAUGAAGAAUGGAAAAUUGCAAAAAGAACCCAAACUCUUCUUCUUCCUCUCAAGUGCAAACCCAACCACCAAACUUUGCCGUCCGAUCACCGUUUCAGAUGGCCGACCUACCAAAGAGCUUCUCCCAACCCCCACGAGCAUAACCCAACUAACCUCACCUCAAACCGUCACCCGUAGCCACCGGAAUCAUGCUUGGAAGCCCGCGGCCACCGUGAAGAAAAAGCUCCGAUCUGGCCAACUCCGGCCAUGGUUCAGCAUGCCGUUACCACCAUUCAUCUCACCGGACUGAGGAGCAGCUAGCCCAACCAAUUUUUGACCAAAACAGCCCUCGAAUGUCGGAGAUCCAACUUUGACCUGAAAUGGGUCAUUUUGACCCGAUCUUGACCCGGCUCAAAUUCCACUUUUCGGCGACCCUGAAGCUCUAAUCUGACUAGUUUCGAUGCUCUGAACACGUUGGUGAAGUUUUUGGAUCCAUACGGAUAGCGUUGGAGCAUCUUCGCAAUUACGUAGUAAAUAUUCGUAUACAUAGGGCAUACGUGCAGGCGGGAUAGGAUCUAAUGCACAGGCUGUGGAGUGGGAUGCGUGACGGAGGUGGCCUGGACUCUUGCGUGUUCCUUUGUGUUUAUGUGGUACAUGUGUGUGGUUAUAUAUAUUUGGAUGUAUAUGUAUGACUUGUUGUUUGCAUGUCACAGUUGUGGGAGUAGGUUGUUGAACUUGAAGUUAUGUUUAUGUUUUGGAUGAGGAUUGUAUUUGGUUAGCCGGGAGUGAGGUCCCAUGACUACUGUGUGACUGAUGACGAUGAUGAUUUGUGUUUGAUGGUGGACCCUGAGGGUCGGUUGACUUGGAUGGUAUUAGAAGUGUUUUCUUUGUU
Tripterygium wilfordii is the source of this 1050-nucleotide long non-coding RNA. RefSeq lists it as uncharacterized. NCBI's taxonomy places the organism in Eukaryota, Viridiplantae, Streptophyta, Magnoliopsida, Celastrales, Celastraceae. The record is from RefSeq and is a predicted model, not a curated record. The transcript has 2 exons.